GAGGGAGGAGGCAAGCGUUAUCCGGAAUUAUUGGGCGUAAAGGGUACGUAGGCGGCUGGUCAAGUCUGGGGUUAAAGGCCACAGCUCACCUGUGGGAAGGCCCUGGAAACUGACCGGCUAGAGUGAGGUAGGGGUUGCGGGAAUUCCCGGUGUAGCGGUGAAAUGCGUAGAGAUCGGGAAGAACACCUGAGGCGGAAGCGCGCAACUGGGCCUCAACUGACGCUGAGGUACGAAAGCUAGGGGAGCGAAUGGG
RNAcentral lists this ribosomal RNA (253 nucleotides) under uncultured bacterium. RNAcentral describes it as "partial 16S ribosomal RNA". It matches the Rfam family "Bacterial small subunit ribosomal RNA", at positions 524 to 776 of the family's 1533-position model. The record is from RNAcentral.